UCGUCACACUAUCAUUAACUGAAUCCAUAGGUUAAUGAGGCGAACCGGGGGAACUGAAACAUCUAAGUACCCCGAGGAAAAGAAAUCAACCGAGAUUCCCCCAGUAGCGGCGAGCGAACGGGGAGGAGCCCAGAGCCUGAAUCAGCAUGUGUGUUAGUGGAAGCGUCUGGAAAGGCGCGCGAUACAGGGUGACAGCCCCGUACACAAAAGCGCAUGUGUUGUGAGCUCGAUGAGUAGGGCGGGACACGUGGUAUCCUGUCUGAAUAUGGGGGGACCAUCCUCCAAGGCUAAAUACUCCUGACUGACCGAUAGUGAACCAGUACCGUGAGGGAAAGGCGAAAAGAACCCCGGCGAGGGGAGUGAAAAAGAACCUGAAACCGUGUACGUACAAGCAGUGGGAGCACCCUUUGGGGUGUGACUGCGUACCUUUUGUAUAAUGGGUCAGCGACUUAUAUUCUGUAGCAAGGUUAACCGAAUAGGGGAGCCGGAGGGAAACCGAGUCUUAAUUGGGCGUUAAGUUGCAGGGUAUAGACCCGAAACCCGGUGAUCUAGCCAUGGGCAGGUUGAAGGUUGGGUAACACUAACUGGAGGACCGAACCGACUAAUGUUGAAAAAUUAGCGGAUGACCUGUGGCUGGGGGUGAAAGGCCAAUCAAACCGGGAGAUAGCUGGUUCUCCCCGAAAGCUAUUUAGGUAGCGCCUCGUGAAUUCAUCUCCGGGGGUAGAGCACUGUUUCGGCUAGGGGGCCAUCCCGGCUUACCAACCCGAUGCAAACUGCGAAUACCGGAGAAUGUUAUCACGGGAGACACACGGCGGGUGCUAACGUCCGUCGUGAAGAGGGAAACAACCCAGACCGCCAGCUAAGGUCCCAAAGUCAUAGUUAAGUGGGAAACGAUGUGGGAAGGCCCAGACAGCCAGGAUGUUGGCUUAGAAGCAGCCAUCAUUUAAAGAAAGCGUAAUAGCUCACUGGUCGAGUCGGCCUGCGCGGAAGAUGUAACGGGGCUAAAC
RNAcentral lists this ribosomal RNA (1007 nucleotides) under Salmonella enterica. RNAcentral describes it as "bacterial LSU rRNA". It matches the Rfam family "Bacterial large subunit ribosomal RNA", at positions 140 to 1187 of the family's 2925-position model. The record is from RNAcentral. Lineage: Bacteria; Pseudomonadati; Pseudomonadota; Gammaproteobacteria; Enterobacterales; Enterobacteriaceae. RNAcentral also lists the same sequence under 1 other name.